GGCGAAUUUUGAAGAAGGGAAGGAUUAUGUCACUGUCGCUGGCAUCAACGAAGCACAAAAGCCUGUGCUGCGUGAGUUCUUCUCCUAUAAUUGCCC
This 96-nucleotide transfer RNA is filed under the name Shewanella decolorationis. RNAcentral's name for it is "tRNA-Asp". The record is from RNAcentral. Lineage: Bacteria; Pseudomonadati; Pseudomonadota; Gammaproteobacteria; Alteromonadales; Shewanellaceae.